This is a non-coding RNA of Gossypium raimondii (Peruvian cotton), 108 nucleotides long. The record is from Rfam. Lineage: Eukaryota; Viridiplantae; Streptophyta; Magnoliopsida; Malvales; Malvaceae.
UGUUAAAAAUUUAAUCCACUUUUAUUGUUAAAAAUUAGUGUGGUUAACAAAAUAACCAGACAUAUAUGGACAAAUUUUUAACAGUAGAAAUGAAUGAAAUUUUUAAUA